This 253-nucleotide ribosomal RNA is filed under the name uncultured bacterium. Its description in RNAcentral is "partial 16S ribosomal RNA". It matches the Rfam family "Bacterial small subunit ribosomal RNA", at positions 524 to 776 of the family's 1533-position model. The record is from RNAcentral.
UACGUAGGGUGCAAGCGUUAAUCGGAAUUACUGGGCGUAAAGCGUGCGCAGGCGGUUAUGCAAGAACGAUGUGAAAUCCCCGGGCUUAACCUGGGAACCGCAUUUGUGACUGCAUAGCUGGAGUACGGCAGAGGGGGAUGGAAUUCCGCGUGUAGCAGUGAAAUGCGUAGAUAUGCGGAGGAACACCGAUGGCGAAGGCAGUCCCCUGGGCCUGUACUGACGCUCAUGCACGAAAGCGUGGGGAGCAAACAGG